CGCCUUUUUCCUAUGCGCAGAACUCACCGAUUCGUGCCUGCAGCAGGUUCGGGUCGAACGUAGUGAGACAACGGAGCCGCUUGCGGCGACGGCCCGCAGGGCGAGGCGAAGCCGAGUCAUCCUGCGCGACCCACCA
RNAcentral lists this small RNA (136 nucleotides) under Klebsiella pneumoniae. Its description in RNAcentral is "RtT sRNA". It matches the Rfam family "RtT RNA". From Rfam's summary of the family: This family represents a bacterial cis-regulatory element known as RtT RNA. The exact function of RtT is unknown although it is thought that it may be involved in changing the cellular response in relation to amino acid starvation. The record is from RNAcentral. Lineage: Bacteria; Pseudomonadati; Pseudomonadota; Gammaproteobacteria; Enterobacterales; Enterobacteriaceae.